Polistes canadensis is the source of this 706-nucleotide long non-coding RNA. RefSeq lists it as uncharacterized. The transcript has 2 exons. The record is from RefSeq and is a predicted model, not a curated record. Lineage: Eukaryota; Metazoa; Arthropoda; Insecta; Hymenoptera; Vespidae.
CAAGGUACGAGCUGUCCGACGUACAGUAUUCCAUCGUCUACACCGGACAGCACGUCGUGCGAGAUAGCGUUCGCAAAUGUGUGAACAUUUUAAGCGAAGGAAACGAGAGGAAGGAGGAAAGUAAAGAGAAGGGAAGAAAAUAAUAGAAUGGGAAAGAAAAAAAAUAAAUAAAUAGAAAUAACAGACAAUAAGUAAAACGAAGUCAAAAGGAAAAACAAAAAAUAAAACACAAAAAUAAAAAGAAAUAAUAGCAACAGAAGAAGAAGAAGAAGAAGAAUAAGAAGAAGAAAAAAGAAAAAGGCAAAAAGAGAGUUAGGUCGCCAUCUUUACGGAAGCAUUAUCCCCGAGCUAACAAUUCGUUUAUUGUGGGAUUAAAUUAGGAGAGAAUAUUGCCCUAUUCUUUCUAUCUUCUAUAUGUUCUGGCAAUCGUGCAUCCGGAUACUUUCGAAAGAUCGAUAAUCGGUCGCGUUCGACAUAGUAGUGAACACAAUAUUCCAAUUAGUUUUUCAUUGGAUAACAUAAAGACUUUGACUGAUUCAAGUUGUGAAAAACAAAAAGUAAAAGAAGGGAAUUGACAAAUUUGCGUAACGACUACGUCAACCAUCUCGUUGUCUACUCUUCGCAAGAGGAGAUAACAGUAGGAGAGAAGGAUAUUAAAGGAGGGUGGUGUUGGGCAUUGGUGAUCGAAAGAAGACACGAAGAAGAA